UUGUGCUCUGAUAACGAGUUAAUUGUAUAGAAUUCCGAAGUGACUCAAAGAUAUGGCCACUGUAACCCGCUUUACGCAUCAGUGAGUCAAUUGCUUCCACUUUUGUCCAACCUGAACCAAGAAGACAAACUUAAUCAUAAACACACAACUGAGUGGGGCAUCAUUUUAUCACGAAUUAAAGCAUUUAUGUAAUGCAAUAUAAGCAUUAUGUUGAAUUUAUACACAGGUCUAACAUGAGCACUCUGCCCUGCAAAUGCAGAAACUAGUUUUCUGAAGUAGCAGCAAGUCACCUAGCUUUCUUCUGCAUAGAAAGAAAUGAGAUACAUGACAUCUUCCCAGAAUUUUUACAUUUACAAUUGGGACCUGAGCGAAAUUUUGCAACAAAACCAGACUAAACACAGAUUACAUAAGUCCUAAUGCUAUUGGUCACAGUUUCUCUUCCACCUAAAAAAGUUAAUAUUCCAGAUGUAGCAUUGAGCUGAUUUCUUCUUCUGUUAAAUUCCUUACAUGGCAUGCCACAUCAACAAGGAAAAAGUUAUAGUCAGCUCUUUUCUUUUUUCAAAAAACAAAAAAAGAAAAUUUGAUGCGGCAAUUCUUUUGUCUUAUUCCCCG
This 612-nucleotide unclassified non-coding RNA is filed under the name Hevea brasiliensis (rubber tree). Lineage: Eukaryota; Viridiplantae; Streptophyta; Magnoliopsida; Malpighiales; Euphorbiaceae. The record is from RNAcentral.